UCGAUUCCCUUAGUAGCGGCGAGCGAAACGGGAAGAGCCCAAACCAACAAGCUUGCUUGUUGGGGUUGUAGGACACUCUAUACGGAGUUACAAAGGACGACAUUAGACGAAUCAUCUGGAAAGAUGAAUCAAAGAAGGUAAUAAUCCUGUAGUCGAAAAUGUUGUCUCUCUUGAGUGGAUCCUGAGUACGACGGAGCACGUGAAAUUCCGUCGGAAUCUGGGAGGACCAUCUCCUAAGGCUAAAUACUCUCUAGUGACCGAUAGUGAACCAGUACCGUGAGGGAAAGGUGAAAAGCACCCCGGAAGGGGAGUGAAAUAGAACCUGAAACCGUGUGCUUACAAGUAGUCAGAGCCCGUUAAUGGGUGAUGGCGUGCCUUUUGUAGAAUGAACCGGCGAGUUACGAUUUGAUGCAAGGUUAAGCAGUAAAUGUGGAGCCGUAGCGAAAGCGAGUCUGAAUAGGGCGUUUAGUAUUUGGUCGUAGACCCGAAACCAGGUGAUCUACCCUUGGUCAGGUUGAAGUUCAGGUAACACUGAAUGGAGGACCGAACCGACUUACGUUGAAAAGUGAGCGGAUGAACUGAGGGUAGCGGAGAAAUUCCAAUCGAACCUGGAGAUAGCUGGUUCUCUCCGAAAUAGCUUUAGGGCUAGCCUCAAGUGAUGAUUAUUGGAGGUAGAGCACUGUUUGGACGAGGGGCCCCUCUCGGGUUACCGAAUUCAGACAAACUCCGAAUGCCAAUUAAUUUAACUUGGGAGUCAGAACAUGGGUGAUAAGGUCCGUGUUCGAAAGGGAAACAGCCCAGACCACCAGCUAAGGUCCCAAAAUAUAUGUUAAGUGGAAAAGGAUGUGGCGUUGCCCAGACAACUAGGAUGUUGGCUUAGAAGCAGCCAUCAUUUAAAGAGUGCGUAAUAGCUCACUAGUCGAGUGACACUGCGCCGAAAAUGUACCGGGGCUAAACAUAUUACCGAAGCUGUGGAUUGUCCUUUGGACAAUGGUAGGAGAGCGUUCUAAGGGCGUUGAAGCAUGAUCGUAAGGACAUGUGGAGCGCUUAGAAGUGAGAAUGCCGGUGUGAGUAGCGAAAGACGGGUGAGAAUCCCG
RNAcentral lists this ribosomal RNA (1097 nucleotides) under Staphylococcus aureus. RNAcentral's name for it is "partial 23S ribosomal RNA". It matches the Rfam family "Bacterial large subunit ribosomal RNA", at positions 231 to 1332 of the family's 2925-position model. The record is from RNAcentral. Lineage: Bacteria; Bacillati; Bacillota; Bacilli; Caryophanales; Staphylococcaceae.